UGUGUGUGUAUCAAAGUUCAACUUUGUC
RNAcentral lists this non-coding RNA (28 nucleotides) under Homo sapiens (human). Lineage: Eukaryota; Metazoa; Chordata; Mammalia; Primates; Hominidae. The record is from RNAcentral.